UACGUAGGGCGCAAGCGUUGUCCGGAAUUAUUGGGCGUAAAGAGCUCGUAGGCGGUUUGUCGCGUCUGUCGUGAAAGCUUGGGGCUUAACCCCAAGUCUGCGGUGGAUACGGGCAGACUAGAGGCAGGUAGGGGAGAACGGAAUUCCUGGUGUAGCGGUGAAAUGCGCAGAUAUCAGGAGGAACACCGAUGGCGAAGGCAGGUCUCUGGGCCGAUACUGACGCUGAGGAGCGAAAGCGUGGGGAGCGAACAGG
Molecule: ribosomal RNA, 253 nt
Filed under: uncultured bacterium
Lineage: Bacteria
Description: partial 16S ribosomal RNA
Rfam family: Bacterial small subunit ribosomal RNA
Source: RNAcentral